UGGGGAAUUUUGGACAAUGGGCGAAAGCCUGAUCCAGCAAUGCCGCGUGUGUGAAGAAGGCCUCCGGGUUGUAAAGCACUUUUGUCCGGAAAGAAAUCCUUGGCUCUAAUACAGUCGGGGGAUGACGGUACCGGAAGAAUAAGCACCGGCUAACUACGUGCCAGCAGCCGCGGUAAUACGUAGGGUGCAAGCGUUAAUCGGAAUUACUGGGCGUAAAGCGUGCGCAGGCGGUUUGCUAAGACCGAUGUGAAAUCCCCGGGCUCAACCUGGGAACUGCAUUGGUGACUGGCAGGCUAGAGUAUGGCAGAGGGGGGUAGAAUUCCACGUGUAGCAGUGAAAUGCGUAGAGAUGUGGAGGAAUACCGAUGGCGAAGGCAGCCCCCUGGGCCAAUACUGACGCUCAUGCACGAAAGCGUGGGGAGCAAACAGGAUUAGAUACCCUGGUAGUCCACGCCCUAAACGAUGUCAACUAGUUGUUGGGGAUUCAUUUCCUUAGUAACGUAGCUAACGCGUGAAGUUGACCGCCUGGGGAGUACGGUCGCAAGAUUAAAACUCAAAUGAAUUGACGGGGUCAUAGCUGUUUCCU
RNAcentral lists this ribosomal RNA (585 nucleotides) under uncultured bacterium. RNAcentral's name for it is "partial 16S ribosomal RNA". It matches the Rfam family "Bacterial small subunit ribosomal RNA", at positions 355 to 1375 of the family's 1533-position model. The record is from RNAcentral.